UGUGCACAUGCCAUAAUUAUACGCUUGAUGGCGCUGGGCUGGCAGCGAUGAUUACGUAGCCGCCUUUGUUGUUGUUUAUUCAUUAAUGAGUGCAACACAAAGCGGCGGGCGUCGUCCUGUGUUUCAGUCUUGAUAGCUCAUUACGCUGACACUUGAUUGUUGCACGAACCAGCCAGCAGGAGCAAACAGCAGACAGCAAGAGUUGCCACCAAAUUUCACUAGUCGACACGGGAGGCAACCUUCAGUGAUUAGGGAUGUGAAUCCAUGGCAUUCUUGCCAGUUCUCAAAAGCAUAAAUAUAAGUGUCUAGUAAUGUAAUUGUAUUUAACUCUUAAACGUUUUAAUGAAAAUGAUACGCCAAUGGAAUUCAACGUGUGCACUCUAUUUGUUUUUAGCCUAUUAAAAUGCAAAUUUUCGCACGAAUAAAUUUAUCAAAUUUA
This is a non-coding RNA of Drosophila virilis, 439 nucleotides long. Lineage: Eukaryota; Metazoa; Arthropoda; Insecta; Diptera; Drosophilidae. The record is from RefSeq and is a predicted model, not a curated record.